AUUGAACGCUGGCGGCAGGCCUAACACAUGCAAGUCGAGCGGAUGAAGGGAGCUUGCUCCUGGAUUCAGCGGCGGACGGGCGAGUAAUGCCUAGGAAUCUGCCUGGUAGUGGGGGAUAACGUCCGGAAACGGGCGCUAAUACCGCAUACGUCCUGAGGGAGAAAGUGGGGGAUCUUCGGACCUCACGCUAUCAGAUGAGCCUAGGUCGGAUUAGCUAGUUGGUGGGGUAAAGGCCUACCAAGGCGACGAUCCGUAACUGGUCUGAGAGGAUGAUCAGUCACACUGGAACUGAGACACGGUCCAGACUCCUACGGGAGGCAGCAGUGGGGAAUAUUGGGCAAUGGGCGAAAGCCUGAUCCAGCCAUGCCGCGUGUGUGAAGAGGGUCUUCGGAUUGUAAAGCACUGUAAGUUGGGAGGAAGAGCAGUAAGUUAAUACCUUGCUGUUUUGACGUUACCAACAGAAUAAGCACCGGCUAACUUCGUG
This 484-nucleotide ribosomal RNA is filed under the name uncultured bacterium. RNAcentral's name for it is "partial 16S ribosomal RNA". It matches the Rfam family "Bacterial small subunit ribosomal RNA", at positions 30 to 507 of the family's 1533-position model. The record is from RNAcentral.